CGAUUAAUUUAUUUGUAUAGGUGUUGAAUUUUGCCCCAUGCCAUCAACAUAAGGUCUGCGAGUUCAAAUAUGCGGAUUGAAAGUCUGGUUAAUGGCGGUCUUAACUAUAAGGAUCCUAAGGUAGCGAAAUUUAUUGUCCGUUAAAUGCGGUCCCGCAUGAAUAAAGUAACGAUGGUCUCACUGUCUCUACAAGCAUCUCAGUGAAAUUGAAUUAGCCGUGCAGAUGCGGCUUACCUCCGGGUGGACGGGAAGACCCUAUGCAGCUUCUACUG
Molecule: ribosomal RNA, 272 nt
Filed under: Rhizoctonia solani
Lineage: Eukaryota; Fungi; Basidiomycota; Agaricomycetes; Cantharellales; Ceratobasidiaceae
Description: partial large subunit ribosomal RNA
Rfam family: Bacterial large subunit ribosomal RNA
Source: RNAcentral